UACGUAGGGGGCAAGCGUUGUCCGGAUUUAUUGGGCGUAAAGAGCGUGUAGGCGGCCAGACAGGUCCGUUGUGAAAACUCGAGGCUCAACCUCGAGACGUCGACGGAAACCGUCUGGCUAGAGUCCGGAAGAGGAGUGUGGAAUUCCUGGUGUAGCGGUGAAAUGCGCAGAUAUCAGGAAGAACACCGAUGGCGAAGGCAGCUCUCUGGGACGGUACUGACGCUGAGACGCGAAAGCGUGGGGAGCGAACAGG
Molecule: ribosomal RNA, 253 nt
Filed under: uncultured bacterium
Lineage: Bacteria
Description: partial 16S ribosomal RNA
Rfam family: Bacterial small subunit ribosomal RNA
Source: RNAcentral